CUCACAACAUUGACAAUCAGAAGGCCUACACCCUCUCCUCACUCCCAUCUUCUCUUGUCUCUCACCACAGCGUUCUGUAGUUCAAGGGCUGCGAUCAACCUUGAUGUGGGUUCAAAGCGGACAGUUCUGGUGGAUCAUUGGCCCACGUGCUCACAACACCCAUCGUCUGGUUGGUGAGUUCUAGGGAGUUACUCAAACACAUGGCCUUUUUUGGCUUUUCCAAAGAAACAUCACAUUCCAGGAACAUGUAUUUAACAGAUUCUGUGACUAAUGACCUCUGUUAUUGUUGCCAGGUGUGGCGCUGUAUACCUCUGCUGCACUAAAAUCCCUGUACUGAGUGUGGAGGGGGGUUUGACCGUGGGGGUGGUUCUGCCAUGUUUUUCAAAUCACCAUUACGCUUUCUGCUGACUCGUGUGUGAGGUUUGCUUGACGAAACAAAUCUAUUUGUCCUCCCAAGCAAUAGCUAAACAUCCUUCUUUGUCCUUUUUGAAAUGUGCCCUGUUUAAAGAGAGGAAGUCAGAGAGGUACAGUAUUCAACCCCUCCAAGGUGAUUUCGCACAUCAGUGAGUUUGGGCUCUACAGUGUCCCACCUUAAAGUCUUCUAGUCCUGCUCUUUGGCAUCAUACUGUGGCAAAGAGUUAAUCUUUAUUUGACCAAUAAACACAUACAUUUACUAAGCAUUAGCCUACAUAAUAACCAUAGUAACAUUAGAAAUCUAUCACAGGGAUGAAGUAAUCAUUAUCAACAUGCACAUGUUAUAUCGUAGAUUCUGUUUUCUUCACAGGAGUAUUUUCUGUCCCGAGGAAAGGAUUGCAUCACAGUGUCUAUGGGACCCAAGAGAUUCUGACAUGUGGCUUUAAGUGAAAACAGCAGCAUGGCCGACAAACCCAAAAUUCAUGUGUUCAUGGGUGCCCCUCCCCUCACACCUGUGUCUGAUUUUGAUGAGGGAAAGUCUGGUCAGUGGAGGACCAUGGAGCUCUGCUGGCAGGGGGGCAGACUGAGGGCCAGGGAAGAUGAGGGUGGGAUCCAUGGAAGUGACGGUCGAGGUGAGGUUGACGCUUCAUCAGAGCCCGGAGAGCUGCCCAGUACCAGCAAGCACGGUACCAGUCUCCAAGGUCCUGAGAUUCAAACCGGAUUUCCCUUACAGAGAGAACCAGGCUGUAAAGAGACAACCCAGGCUGGCCUGGCCCCUUUGGCGAGCUCAACUCCCCAGAAUGAGCAAACAGUUGUUAAUGAUGAGGACAUGUGUUCUGAAUCAGUGAAGGAGUAUCUGGACAGCUGCUUCCCUGACGGGCAGCCUGACCCAGGGCCUGAGUCUGCCCCUGAGAGAGCAGGCAUCCAGUCAGAUCCAGCCCCUGCUCAGUCUGUGUCUGUGGAGACGGAGUACCUCAGUGCAUGGACAGUCAGCCAGGCCCUGCUCCUGAGAGGAAGACUGGGGGGACAACCAAAAACCAGCCCUGUGAAAACCAGACUUCCACAAACGCCACCUAAAUCUACGCCAUCCACUUUCACCAGCUCCCCAGAGUUGUACAGCCCAGCCACCCCCACUCAGUCCCCCAGAGAGCGGGGCCAAGGAGGGACCCAGCAGGGCUCCAUGGAGCUCUUCUAUGAGCCCCUGCUGAGCCAGAGGCAGGAGGAAGGAGGGGUGAUACUGGAGGCCACUGCUGAUGGGGUGCUCUGCUCUCAGGGUAACCCAAAGGGGAACAAAGAAGUGGGUGUAGUCUCCAAAAGCCCUCUCCCAUCACCUAAAUCCCCUGUAAAUACCUCACCGGCACCCCCAUCCCCUAAAAGGAGUAAAGUCUCCCCCACAAUAGGCAGAACUGAUCAGUCAUCAGACCAGACUACAGGGAAGGGUUGUGUUACUUCCCAAGCCCACACCACCCUGGCUAGAUGUGGCACCCAGGGAGUGCGUUACUCCAUCUUAGUGGCCGUGGUGCACCCGUGUCAUCUGAAGGAGAUCAGAGUGAGGUCCGGGGCGUCUGCUGGCUCCUGUAUCCCCCUGGCCUCUGUGGUGGUUACUGACCAAUCAGAAGUGGAGAUGAAGGUGGUCCUGUGGAGGAGGGCAGCUUUCUGGGCCCUGACUGUGUAUUCUGGAGAUGUGCUGCUCAUCACUGGUGUGAUGGUGAAUGAGGACAAGUGGAGAGGAGAGACGGUUCUGCAGUCGUCGUACAGCAGCAAGCUCCUCAACCUGGGCCAAGUCACCGGCAGCAGCUCACCUCUAGUUCCACAGAAUGUGAAUGGCCGGACACUGAGGUCUCUGUGUGGUUACCUGCGUGAGAAGCGUCCCCUGCUGGUGUCCCUCCCUCCUCGCGUCCCUCAGGAUCCUAACACCAUCGCCCACGCCCGUCUCAGGACCCUGAGACCUGACACACUGGUGCAUGCCCUGCUUCGAAUCACACACACUGAGAUGACCACAGGGUGGCGAGCCGAGGCAGAGGGCACGUCCAGGGUAGGAGGAGUACUGAAGGCUGUACUGACUGUAGUGCAGGGGGAUGGACAGCAGGGGGCAGUGGUGCUCUGGGGAGCUGCCUUGACCUGGCUGCAGCGUAUCAACAGGAACAAAGAUGCAGUGUGGGUUUUCCGUUUGCUCCUGGUAAGAGAGAGUAUGACGACAGGCCUGCUGGAGCUGCACUCCACCCCCUGGGGCUCCUGUGAGCCUCUCUUCCCCGACGACACGCGGGCGCUGGAGUUCUACCGGCCAGGCCCUGCCAAACAUACCAGCACCAGCUUGGAGAUAGACCUGCACACUCUCCUGUCCCAGAAGUACACUGGUGAUGUGGAACUGAGAGUUCACGUCACAGCUUUCCAGUUUCAAGGCAGCCCCUCCCAGAAUGCACUGCAGCGGAUGGACAGCGACACGCAUCUGGAGAGUAUCCUGGACACAGUGUCAGGUGACAUCACGUUCACAGGUUGUGGGCGCUGCGCUGCCGAGCUGGACACAGAUGACAACGGGAUCUACUGUCCCUGCUACCCCUGCCUCCCCCAUACUGGAGUACGACGCUAUUACAGGUCCUACAACCACAACACGGUGCAUCUCACCAACAUCACGAGCAUUUACAUUCCAUUAAGGUAUACAGAGAGACCUUAAUAAUGCUUCCCUCACUGACUCGCAUUAUCUUCGUGGAAGUGUCCAUUUCUCAGACGUACCAAACACACUCAUUCCAAAUGGAAAUGGAAUUGGCCGGUAAUUAACUCAAGCAGCCUGAAUAGCUCUCAUUUUCUAAAAGAGGCCAGUAAUACUGACAGUGAAGAAUGGGGAAAGCCAGGUGUGUGUGCAGGUGCCACCUGUCCUGCUGCAGAAGAUCCUGCUCGACACUCCUCCUGACAAGCU
Molecule: RNA transcript, 3331 nt
Organism: Oncorhynchus masou masou (cherry salmon)
Lineage: Eukaryota; Metazoa; Chordata; Actinopteri; Salmoniformes; Salmonidae
Gene: shld2
Gene name: shieldin complex subunit 2
Exons: 7
Source: RefSeq, a predicted model, not a curated record